This is a long non-coding RNA of Hemicordylus capensis (graceful crag lizard), 480 nucleotides long. RefSeq lists it as uncharacterized. The record is from RefSeq and is a predicted model, not a curated record. The transcript has 2 exons. Lineage: Eukaryota; Metazoa; Chordata; Lepidosauria; Squamata; Cordylidae.
UCUAUCAGUUAAGGCUACAGUUGACAGCAAUUGGGGCACAGAAUGUUGGCGUGGGUUGAAAGAAAACAGCACAAGAAAGUGUUAGAAAUAAGAGGACAGAGAGGAAAUGGGUGUGCUGAACCCCGAACAGCUUAGAAAAGCUCUGCGAACAGAAGCUGGAGAAUCUACAAACAAGGAUGGAUAAUGCCACCAAACCUUAGCUGAGAGCUCUCUCAAAGGAUCCAUCUGCUCACAAUUUUCAGACAAGAUGCUGACCGAGAUGGAGCAUAGGUCUGAAACACCACAACUCCUCUAAAGUGCAAACACACUUACAAAUCUAUGUUCCUCAGUUCUCAGGAGGAUUAAGAUUUGUACAACACAUCCCAUCACUUUUCCCUCACCAUCAGUGAAAGCCAUAGAACAGGACCUGUGCUUCUGUCUUCUUAAAGUUUGUACCAAGUAGAAUUCUGUGGUCUAUAUUAAUAACAUAUUUAAUAAGCA